Molecule: long non-coding RNA, 737 nt
Filed under: Manihot esculenta (cassava)
Lineage: Eukaryota; Viridiplantae; Streptophyta; Magnoliopsida; Malpighiales; Euphorbiaceae
Description: long non-coding RNA (MESC_LNC006874)
Source: RNAcentral
CAAUCAUCGUUUAAGAUAUGUUUAUAUAUAUAUAAAGAUUUUAAAAUUGGACUCACAGAUUUAAUAUGGUAAGUGCAUUUAAGUAAAUUUGAUAGAACUCUCAUAUUCUAAUCUCUCAAUUUCUAAUCCCCAUUCUAAAAAAAAAAAUUAAAAUUAUUUACUUAUUCAAAUUUUUAUAAUAAAGCAUGUUAAAUUUAAUUUUAAAUUAAUUUUUUUUAUAAAUUUGACUAAUAUGUAUUUAAGUUAAUAAUUUUCUCAAUGAUAUUUUCUAAAGCAUAUUAUAGUAGCUAUCCAUGAUUUGUUUUUUUUAUGUUGAAUAUUCUUCAAUAGGUAUGGUGUAUGACUGAAAUACUGCAUUUUCCUUUUAUGUAAUAGAAAUUAGAAAUCGCUUAUGUUUGCAAAAAACAAAGAAAAAGAGAAAAAAAAGGAGAAAUAGUAUCACAGGGACUUGUUAGAAAAAUAAUAAACAAAAAUCAACAAGUAAAGAUUUACAAGUUUCACAAAUAAUUCAUAAAUCAUCAAACACUUGCUGCUAAGUUUAUAAACAUCUGUGGCAAAAAAAAAGUCUAUAAACAUCUAAUCAAACAAAUCCCAUCAAAUAAAAGAACCCAAAUAGGAAGAUCCCCACUUUCCUGUAUUCCAUUUUUUUCUAAAAUAGAAAAUAAGCAAAAGAAAAAACACCAAUAUUAUUUUAUUUCUAUAUUUCCUAUUGUGGAUAGAGGGCUAAGUUGACAUAC